Molecule: long non-coding RNA, 702 nt
Organism: Homo sapiens (human)
Lineage: Eukaryota; Metazoa; Chordata; Mammalia; Primates; Hominidae
Source: Ensembl
GAAUGACAACUCAUCUGGAAAAAAAGAAUGAAUGACUAUAAUUUUGGCAAUUGCAGACCUAUUCAGUGUCAUUUGAUUGAAUGAUUGAUCAGGUGGUAGAAGAGGCUUGAGCAGGCCGACUUGCCCUUCAGGAAUACUGCCUGGCCUUCAGAUUCAACCUUAUUGCUUGACACUACUUGGCCUGCUCAGUGGCGCUAUCUCGGCUCACCACAACAUCUGCCUCCUGGGUUCAAGCGAUUCUCCUGCCUCAGCCUCCUGAGUAUCUGGGAUUACAGGCAUGCACCACCACACCUGGCUAAUUUUUGCAUUUUUAGUAGAGACAGGGUUUCACUAUGUUGGCCAGGCUGGCCUCAAACUCCUGACCUCAGGUGAUCCACCCUCCUCGGCCUCCCACAGUGCUGGGAUUACAGGCAUGAGCCACCACGCCCGGCCAAUGACUGAUGGUUUUCUGAUGUGACUUUGAGAGCUGUUAAUGUGAGCAAGAGUUGAUGGCCGUCGAUCCCAUCUGCCUGUACUUCCUAUAUUCUUGAUGCUUUGUCUUAUAGGAACCGGGCAAAUCUAACUCAGUCUUCCUUUGAUCCACACUGGAUGAGUGAACUGCAUGUGGGUGUCAGAACUCAGUGCUUUUGUACUGAGGCUGUCACCUUGUUACCUGAGGGCUGCCUUAAAUCCUCAACCUAAUCUCAGCUGUUGCCUCUGGCA